Molecule: ribosomal RNA, 497 nt
Filed under: uncultured bacterium
Lineage: Bacteria
Description: partial 16S ribosomal RNA
Rfam family: Bacterial small subunit ribosomal RNA
Source: RNAcentral
GAUGAACGCUGGCGGCGUGCCUAAUACAUGCAAGUCGAGCGAACAGAUGAGGAGCUUGCUCCUCUGACGUUAGCGGCGGACGGGUGAGUAACACGUGGAUAACCUACCUAUAAGACUGGGAUAACUUCGGGAAACCGGAGCUAAUACCGGAUAAUAUAUGGAACCGCAUGGUUCAAUAGUGAAAGACGGUUUUGCUGUCACUUAUAGAUGGAUCCGCGCCGCAUUAGCUAGUUGGUAAGGUAACGGCUUACCAAGGCAACGAUGCGUAGCCGACCUGAGAGGGUGAUCGGCCACACUGGCACUGAGACACGGUCCAGACUCCUACGGGAGGCAGCAGUAGGGAAUCUUCCGCAAUGGGCGAAAGCCUGACGGAGCAACGCCGCGUGAGUGAUGAAGGUCUUCGGAUCGUAAAACUCUGUUAUUAGGGAAGAACAAAUGUGUAAGUAACUAUGCACGUCUUGACGGUACCUAAUCAGAAAGCCACGGCUAACUACGUG